Non-coding RNA from Aedes albopictus (Asian tiger mosquito), 47 nucleotides. The record is from Rfam. NCBI's taxonomy places the organism in Eukaryota, Metazoa, Arthropoda, Insecta, Diptera, Culicidae.
UAAACGGUCCUUUUCAGGACCACCGAAAAUCUUCCCUGAAGAGUUGG